This 489-nucleotide ribosomal RNA is filed under the name uncultured Actinomycetes bacterium. RNAcentral describes it as "bacterial SSU rRNA". It matches the Rfam family "Bacterial small subunit ribosomal RNA", at positions 9 to 489 of the family's 1533-position model. The record is from RNAcentral. Lineage: Bacteria; Bacillati; Actinomycetota; Actinomycetes.
GAGUUUGAUCCUGGCUCAGGGCGAACGCUGGCGGCACGCCUCAUACAUGCAAGUCGAGCGAUCGGAGGCUGGGUGCUUGCACCUGGCCUUACGGAGCGGCGAACGGGUGAGUAACACGUGGGCAAUCUGCCUCGAGGACGGGGAUAACGGCGGGAAACUGCCGCUAAUACCCGAUAUCCCCACUGGAUCGCAUGGUCCGGUGGGUAAAUGGUUCUUCCGCCUCGAGAGGAGCCCGCGGCCUAUCAGCUUGUUGGUGGGGUAACGGCCUACCAAGGCGAUGACGGGUAGCCGGCCUGAGAGGGUGUUCGGCCACACCGGGACUGAGACACGGCCCGGACUCCUACGGGAGGCAGCAGUAGGGAAUCUUGCGCAAUGGCCGAAAGGCUGACGCAGCGACGCCGCGUGGGGAUGACGCAUUUCGGUGUGUAAACCCCUGUUGCCCGGGACGAACACCUCCUUUUGGGGAGGCUGACGGUACCGGGUGAGGAA